GACGAACGCUGGCGGCGUGCCUAAUACAUGCAAGUAGAACGCUGAAGCUUGGUUCUUGCACCGAGCGGAUGAGUUGCGAACGGGUGAGUAACGCGAAGGUAAUCUGCCUGGUAGCGGGGUAACACUAUUGGAAACGAUAGCUAAUACCGUAUAAGAGUAGACUUUGUAUUACAUUUGCUUAAAAGUUGCAAGUGCAUCACUACCAGAUGGACCUGCGUUGUAUUGGCUAGUUGGUGGGGUACCGGCUCAUCAAGGCGACGUCACAUAGCCGACCUGAGAGGAUGAUCAGCCACACUGGGACUGAGACACGGCCCAGACGCAUUCGGGAGGCAGCAGUAGUGAUUCUUCAGCAAUGGGUGGAAGUCAGACCGAGAAACGCGGAAUGAGUGAGGAAGAUUGUCGGGUCGUAGAGGUCUGUUGUCAGGGAAGAACGAGUGUGAGACUGGGAAGUUCACUCAGUGACGGUAACUUACCAGAAAGCGACGGCUAACUACGUG
RNAcentral lists this ribosomal RNA (497 nucleotides) under uncultured bacterium. RNAcentral describes it as "partial 16S ribosomal RNA". It matches the Rfam family "Bacterial small subunit ribosomal RNA", at positions 28 to 507 of the family's 1533-position model. The record is from RNAcentral.